Non-coding RNA from Mucidula mucida, 106 nucleotides. The record is from the annotation of a GenBank genome assembly. Lineage: Eukaryota; Fungi; Basidiomycota; Agaricomycetes; Agaricales; Physalacriaceae.
UCGGAUAUGGUGUAACGGCUAACAUUAGCGCCUCUCAUGAACCAUCAGGUCGUUCAUUCUCCGCGGCAGUGCGCGCUAGCUCGGGGUUCGAUUCCCCGUAUCCGAA